Molecule: ribosomal RNA, 503 nt
Filed under: Chaetoceros affinis
Lineage: Eukaryota; Bacillariophyta; Thalassiosirophyceae; Chaetocerotales; Chaetocerotaceae
Description: partial large subunit ribosomal RNA
Rfam family: Eukaryotic large subunit ribosomal RNA
Source: RNAcentral
GGGCGACUGAAGCGGGAAGAGCUCACCGUGUGAAUCUGUACAAGCCCUUGCUUGUGCCGAGUUGUGGUCUGUAGAAGCAUCGUCUGUUGGUGUCCCGGGCCAAGUCCUUUGGAAAAAGGCAGCAGAGAGGGUGAGACUCCCGUUCUUGCCUGGGACAUUCGACUAUAUUCGUGCCUUCAACGAGUCGAGUUGUUUGGGAUUGCAGCUCAAAGUGGGUGGUAAAUUCCAUCUAAAGCUAAAUAUUGGUAGGAGACCGAUAGCGAACAAGUACCGUGAGGGAAAGAUGAAAAGAACUUUGAAAAGAGAGUUAAAGAGUACAUGAAAUUGUUGAAAGGGAAGCGAAGGAAACCAGUGUUGUUUUGUCUCAUUCUUCUUGUGCUGCUUGCAGUAGAAGCGCUGUGGGUCAGAAUAGGCCAUCCUGGGUUUGGGUCGGUGCAAAUAGUUGCUUUGGAGGUAGGUCCUUUUCGGACUGAAGACACUGCAAUGUUGCGCUGGCCUGGACU